Long non-coding RNA from Trifolium pratense (red clover), 499 nucleotides. RefSeq lists it as uncharacterized. The transcript has 3 exons. NCBI's taxonomy places the organism in Eukaryota, Viridiplantae, Streptophyta, Magnoliopsida, Fabales, Fabaceae. The record is from RefSeq and is a predicted model, not a curated record.
AUAAUUUUUUGAAUUUGGUUUGUGUAGGUGAUCAUGAAGAUGUUCCAAAACAUGGUCGUCCACCAACACAAGAAGAAUUGCAUCAAUUCUUUCUUCCCUUUCGUGGUUUUUGUGCUAGAAAAGGGAUUGAAGCAAAAGAAUUGGUUUUACAUGACAUUGAUGUUCCUAGUGCACUUACUGAUUAUGUUGUUGACAACUCUAUCAACAAUGUUAUUGUUGGUGGUUGUGCUUCCCCUUGGAGUGCUUUUAUAAGGAGAUUUAAAGAAGUAAAUGUUGCAUCUUCCUUAGCUAAAUCUUUACCAGAGUCAUGUACAUUACAUGUUAUAUCAAAAGGAAAAGUACAAAAAAUUCGACCAACAGGGCCUCCUAUUCCUGAACAUGAUGAAACUAGUACUCAACCUCAAAAUAUUGAAGUCACGCCAACUAGAUCUUUAAAAGACAUAGUUACACUAUUGCAAAAUGUAAAUAAGUUUCUUGGCCAUACGCCUGAUUCUGAUGA